This is a long non-coding RNA of Onychostoma macrolepis, 13101 nucleotides long. RefSeq lists it as uncharacterized. Lineage: Eukaryota; Metazoa; Chordata; Actinopteri; Cypriniformes; Cyprinidae. The record is from RefSeq and is a predicted model, not a curated record. The transcript has 5 exons.
GCUUUACAGAGCGCUCAGACGACGACGAAGUCAAGCAGCCCCCCUUCUUACAGUUGCCAUCGUACAAAGCUUUAUUAUAGACUAUUAGCACCGUGUCUACAUUGCAAAACGCGACGCUACAAAACUUCAAGCAAAUCAAUACAAUAUUAGUUGAUUAUAACGGUCGCGUUCUAUUUUUGUCGCGUCGCGUGAGAUAAUUACGUAAUUACGCACUUGAGUCGGUUCCUAAGAGCGUAUACAAAUAUAUCGCGCUUGUUUGCUUUGACCAGUAAUUUUAAAUCACACGAGAACGGGUUUUCGUGAAGUUAAAUACAUGAUAAACUUAUUUAGAAGACGGAGAACACGGCAAGGAUCAGUCGAAGUGGAGAUGGCAUCCUUUUUGGACAUUUAUACAUUUUCUCACAAGGCAUUUCUGCUGUCAGCGCUGGAGGAAAAGUCACGGGCAUCUACGAAGAAGUUUGCGAAAGAAAGUUCAUCAGACGGAUCUUUCUUAGAAAAUACAGACAUUCCGAUUGUAACUUAGCACGAGGCCGCAGGUGUUCACCCUACUGAUGUUCUCUACUACAGGCGAAUUCUCCAGUCCGGGUUUUCCAUUUCCUGCUCAGUACUGAGAAAAACCCGCCCAGAGAGAGAGAGAGAGCGGUGGGCGAAGACAUGGAGGCUCUGACUUUAGAAAACCGCUGCUCUGUUCAGGCUGGCACCAAGUCUGAUGACUUUUCCCAGACGAUUCAGUCAAGACAUAGAGAGAGGGGGCAGAAAGAGAGCCUUCUUGUCCAAUAAGAGGAAAGGGGACUGAAGAAUGUGAAAAGCUCCCAUUCAGGCCGGUUCACAGGGGCUGGGAGCGGCCACAUCCUCAGGAGGGAGGAGGGGUUGCUGCUUUCAGGAGGGUGGGCUAGGGAUCCUGGACAGGGGCCAAGAGCGAUGCAGAGGCUCCUCGGAUGACGCUGGUCCGUGGGAGCGUCCAGUGCCUCCGCCUCUCCUCUGUCCCUUAGGACACCGACUCUGGACUCCUCACAUUCUAUUUACUUGCACAAACAAUCUCUCCCCGUAGUCCUUCUACCCUCAGAGCAGAAGCAGCCAGUAGGCUGCAGGAUGAGGAAUGCAUCUCUAUUAAUAGAGCGGUUAGAUUAUCUCAAAGACUAAUGACUGGCAUGUCCAGAUUCCUGAAAGGCAUGGCAGUGACGUACUUUCAUCCACCGGUCUUCAUGAUCUCAUUUCCUCUGAUAUUCUAUGAAUUUAACUGGUGGGUCUCUUUUUAAAACAGUUUAUAUUCCACUUGCGCAACUUUAUCCUCACUUAUAGUUAAUGAAAGCAUUAACAUUUUUUCAUUAACGUUUUUUUUUUUAUUUAAAGUGACUUACAAAUGUGGAACAUCAAAUGCGAGAAAAAAAAUUUAAUUAAAUGACAAGUAAAAAUAAAAACAUAAAUGGAAAAAUCUAAAAUGGUCACACAUUAAUUUUAGUUUAUAUAUAUAUAUACACACACACACACACACACACAGUCAUGGCACCCUUGGUAAAUAUGAUCAAAGAAGGCUGUGAAAAUUUAUCUGCAUUGUUAAUCCUUUUGAUCUUUUAUUUAAAAAAUUCACAAAAAUCUAACAUUUCAUUGGAUAAUAAGAAUUUAAAAUGGGGGGAAAUAUCAUUAUGAAAUAAAUGUUUUUCUCUAAUACACAUUGGCCACAAUUAACGGCACCCUUUUAUUCAAUACUUUUUGAAACCUCCAUUUGCCAGUUUAACAGCUCUAAACUUUCUCCUAUAAUGCCUGAUGAGGUUAGAGAACACCUGACAAGAGAUCAGAGACCAUUCCUUCAUCCAGAAUCACUCCAGACCCUUUAGAUUCACAGCUCCAUGUUGGUGCUUCUUCUCUUCAGUUCACCCACUCAAUUUCUACAGGGUUCAGAUCAGAGGACUGUGACGGCCAGCAGAGGCUUGGUUUUGUGCUCAGUGACCCAUUUUUGUGUUGUUUUUGUGGUUUGUGUUUGGAUUAUUGUACGUUUGGAAGAUCCUAACAUGGCCCAUUAUAAGAUUUCUAACAGAGUCAGUCACUUAUUGAUUUUUUUAUCUGUUGGUAUUUGAUAGAAUCCAUGAUGCCAUGUGUCUAAACAAGAUGUCCAGGACCUCCAGCAGAAAUAUAGGUCCACAACAUCAAAAAUACAGCAGUAUAUUUCAUUGUACACAUGGGGUACUUUUUAUCCCUGUGUUCACCAAACCCAUCUUGAGUGUUUGCUGCUAAAAAGCUAAUUUUUUAGUUUCAUCUGACCAUAGAAGCCAGUCCCAUUUGAAGUUCUGGUUGUGUCUGAUAACUGAAUAUGCUGGAGUUUGUUUUUGGAUGAGCGUGGAGAAUUUUUCUUGAAACCCUCCCAAACAACAUGUGAUGAUGUAGGUGCUGUUUGACGAUUUUUUUUUUUAAGGUUUUCUGACCCCGAGACACAACUAUUUUCUGCAAUUCUCCAGCUGUGGUCUUUGGAGUGUCUUUAGCCACUCAAACUCUCCUUCUCACCGUGCAUUAGGACGAUAUAGACACACGUCCUCUUCCAGGCAGUUUUGUAACAUUUUAUGUUGAUUGGAAAUUCUUAAUUAUUGCCCUGAUGGUGGAAAUGGGAAUUUUCACUGCUCUAGCUCUUUUCUUAAAGCCACUUCACUAAUUUGUGAAGCUCAAUUAUCUUUUGCUGCACAUCAGAAAUAUAUUCUUUGGUUUUUCACAUUGUGAUGGAUGAUUAAGGGAAUUUGGGCUUUGUUUUCCCUCCGGGAUAAUUUCAUGUUCAUAAUCACCCUGGAGUGCUCAAAAUUGUGAAUAUGAAUGGGAAUAUACUUCAGAGAUAUUAUACUCUGAGAAUUUCUAGGGGUGCCAAUAAUUGUGUCCAACGUGUAUUUGAGAAAAACAUUUAUUUCAUAAUGAUAUUUCCCCCCAUUUUAAAUUCUUAUUAUCCAAUGAAAGGUUAGAUUUUUGUGAAUUUAUUAAAUAAAAGAUCAAAAGGAUUAACAAUGCAGAUUAAUUUUCACAGCCUUCUUUGAUCAUAUUUACCAAGGGUGCCAAUAUUUUUGGCCACGACUGUAUGUGUAUAUAUAUAUAUAUAUAUAUAUAUAUAGUUUUUUUCCCCCAUCAAACAAUAACAACACACAAGAUGGUGUUAGAAUAUUUAACAAUGUUAUUUAUUUAUUUAUUUAUUAAAUAUACCAGAUAGCACAUUUAGUUUUGGUAGCCCUAAAAGUCAAACUAGAACAAAAGUAAACUCAAAACUAAAUAAAACUUGUAAAAAAAAAAUUUAUAUUAAUAAACUAUUAACUAAAAUAAUUGAAAAAAAAACAACAACAACUAAAUUCUAAAUAAUAGCCUGCUUAAGUGUUUGUAUUUGCAUUGAUUGUAAUGCAAUAUUCAGGUAUUCUUGGGUCAAGAAAUUCUUUUCUAAGCCAUGGCCAGAUCUCUCCAUCCCAGCCUGACUUGGGAACCUUUAUGAGCUUCAGGGAGUGUAAACAUCCUACACUCUCAGCUGGAGCCCAGCCCAAGGCCGGGAGUGGGAUGUUUGCGCUCUCUGGCUCAGGAACGCCACGCUCACUGCGGCUGCGCUACGGAGGGGAAAAGCUUAUUCAGAAAAAGUCGUCUAGAUGUUCUCAUCAUCUAUUGAGUCUCAGUAGACCUGAAAUUACACCUGACCACUUUGUGGGAAUAUACACUGAAACAGUGGAGUAGGUAGCAAUCACCUAACUAUCUAUCUAUCUAUCUGUCUACCUAAACAUACAGUAUAUUCAUUGUGUGUAAAGUAUGUUAAAAAGCUCAGGAUAAAAGAAGACAGCUUCUUCCUGGACUUUGUGGCUAGGUCGAAGUGGAUAGAUUUUGAAGUGGAUACGAGAGCUUUGUAACGCACACAGGAAGUGAACUCCAUUGUGAGCACUGGAAGGGCUCUGAGGGUGAGUGGCCUGUCAUUAAGCUGUUCAGGCUGAACUCUAGGUCUCUUUGAAGCUUUCUGACCCCACAGGGUGGGACAACUCUGUUCAACUGCAAGCGCCCCCUCCCAGACAGAGCUGCCGAUGGAAUUGCCUGAGAGGAAAUGACUAUUUAUACCCGCUAAGGAACAGAGAGAGGCACCCUUCCGAUGGGCGUAUCUCCUCUUGCUUCCUUUGACAAAUACGUUAGGACUGCUCUCAUGAAAGCUAACCCCAAGUCCACAAAGAUAUGCACAACAUCCAGUGCUCUCAAUGGUAUUUGUGUACACGCCUAACCGUGUUUUGGUUACCUUUCUCUCCUACUGCAAUGACCUUUACCCACUUUUGCUCGAUGAUGCCAUAGCUUAAGCAUCUCUUGUAUGUGACCACUAGGUGGCAGACUAACUCCAGAAAAUUCCUACAAGCUUUCAGACUUUGCUUGGAAAGAAAGUGAACAAAAAUGCCAUCUUUUUUGAAAAAAUUUAAAAUUAUUCACUACAAAACUUGUAAGGAUCUUCUUCUUAAGUAUGUGCCUCUAAUUCACCAAACCAGAAAUUCAUUAUUAUUCAUUUUACCCUUAUUAUUCAUAACUUAGCAUAAUGUUAACAUUAUUUAGUAAAAAAAAAUAAAAAUACUGUUGGUUUAAAAAAAACACAUUCUGCUAGUGUCACACACAUUUUGUUUUCUUAAAAAAGCGAUAGAAACAAUACUGUAAUUAGUUGUGGCUCUUUUAAAAUGACUGAUAGCACUACAUGUUUUUAAAUAUAUAUUUUGCUGAUCUUUUCAUAUUUUUUUUUACAAUAUCUCUCCAAGUAAUCACUGUGCUUUGCCUAAAACCAAAGUGAAAAGAGUUCAGUAACGUUUCCACCUCAUUCACCUGAAAGUACAUCUCCCUGCUAUGAAUGGGGAAAAAAAACAGAAAUGCUUCAAUCAAAUGACAGCCUCUGAUCAGAGCCGCUUUUCCUGUCAACUGGAGGAAUCGAAACAACUGAAGUAGGACAACAAAGACAUCAUUCAUUAUUAGUUUCACUUUUUCCCUUCUUGCGGUGCUCUUUGAACUGACUGAACUGAAUUUUUCUCAUUUCAUCUUGCUGCAAGAGAGCUACUGAAUUUAUAUCAAGUUCCUUUCAAAUGUUUCAAACGAUAAUCUCGCCCCACAGGUGGCACAGCAACAGGAAGCAAAAACUUGGUAUGUAUGUAUGUAUGUUAUGUGUAAAGUAAAACAGAAUUAUAGUAAACAAUGCAUUGUCAGCAAUAAACACAUCAGGAGAUUUUUCUGUGAAUGUUGUUCCUUGUUUGUUUAAUAAACCAUAUGCAACUGACUGUUUGAAUCGUCUGUUAUUGUUGUGGCCUCUUUUUUUUGGUCAGCAUUCCUCCUCAGUAAAAUGUUUCCUUAAUUCAAAAACAUGACAGUCAGUCGAAACCCCGUAUUUAGUUUUUGUCAGUAUAGUAAUAGUUUCGGGGGAUGUUGACACUCUCGACCACACGAGGAACUGAAACAUUUCAGUGUAGUCAGAUUUCAUUUAUUUGCUCUCAGCACUACACAACACAUCAGCAACAGAAAAAUAAUGAGCUGUGACUGUGUGUAACAUUCAAUAUAUAAUGCAUACUGUAUGGUACGUGUGGAACUAGCUCAUUUGACCUUGUGUGACAUCAAAAGCUUUAUAACACUUAAAUCAUAUUUGAUCCUCAUUAAAAAAAUUUAAAUCUCCAUUUUGUGAUGCUAUCAUUGAAGUUUAUAUUUAAAAACUGUAUUAAAGAUGGGAAGACGUGCCAACAAAUGCUACAAUUGCUAUUAACAGAAAUGGGAUCCAAAAGUCUGUGACCAAAUUGAAAAGAGGAUUCUAAAUCUAAUUUAAACUUGAAAACAAACAGAAUUAUUAUUUUUUUAAAGAAAUUAAUACUUUUAAUCAGCAAAUAUGCAUUAAAAUGACAGUAAAGACAUGUAAUGUUACAAAAAUGUAUACUUCAAAUAAAUGCUGUUGUUUUGAAAUUUCUAUUCAUCAAAAAGUCCUGAAAAAAGAGAUGUCCACAAAAAAUAUAAAGUAGCACAGAUGCUUUCAAUAUUGUUCAUGAUAAGUAUAUUAGAAUUAUUUCUGUAAUAAUAUUUCACAAUAUUACUGUAUUUAAUCAAAUAUAUACAGCCUUGGUGAGCAUGAGGCUUCUUUCAAAAACAUUAAAAUAAUCGGUAACACUUUAUUUUAGGGUCUCUUAACUAGUUGCUUAUUAGCCUGCAUAUUACUAGAAUAUUAGCUAUUUAUUAGUACUAAUUAAACCCAUAUUAAUGCCUUAUUCUACAUCACCUUAUUCUAAAUCCCUAAUCCCAAUACCUAAAUUUAACAACUACCUUACUGACUAUUAAUAAGCAGCAAAUUAGGACUUUAUUGAGGGAAAAGUCGUAGUUAAUAAUGAAUUAGUGUUCUCUAUUCUAAAGUUACCAAAUAAUAUUACCAACCCCAAAGCUAUUAACAGUCUUGUAAAUAGGGGUCAGGUGUCAAUGUACAAACCUAAACAGAUAAUGUAAGACUCUAUGUUAGUGCUUACUGGCAAAGUGUGACUCUCCCACUCUUGUUCUCUCUUUCUCAAGAAUACAUACUCCUGGUAUUAAGCCUGCGUGGGAACAGCUGUGUAAUGGCUGGGUAAUAUUUUGGACAAGCCCUAAAUGCACUUUGUCAUUGCAUGGCUAAAGGAAGGUCAUGACUUUUGAAGGCAUGUGGUUGCUAACAGUGAAGAAUUGAGUUGACAGAACUGGCCGUUUCAUUAGACGCACUGCUAUGAGUCCCAUCAGCACUUCCUCUUUACAGAAAACAGAAGUUCCCUCAAACAACAUCUGGGGUUUCAAGUUACUGUUGUCCCAAUGGGGAAUUGGGGAAAUAUACAUACAUACAUACAGUACAUAUAAAUUUGGUCAGGUUUUCAACUCUGCUUCCCGUGCAUGCUAAACAAAAACUAUACCACGGUCAAAACUGUAUCUAUCUGUAUCAGUUACUCCUGUGAUGGUAAAGCUGCAUUUUCAGCAGCCAUUCACAUGAUCUUUCAGAAAUCAUUCUAGUAUGCUAGAGUACAUUUACAAUAGGUCUGUAGAGUUCAGAAGUUCAGUUAAAGUGGAGAUGACAGACAGAAAGUGAGAGAGAGAGAGAAUGUAAAAGAGGAAGUCACCCAUAUUUGUCAGCUGGACAAAAUUCAAAUACUGUAGUACGGACAUUCCCUAGACGUGCACUAGAUAUAUGACACUACCAACACUGCGACCUCAAUCAUAAUAAAUUACUGUAAUGGAUGGGCUUAUAAACCUGUAAUCACGUAAAAUAACCCCUGUUAGCCUGAAUUAUGAAUGUAUAUCCCAUAUCCAAGUAUUACUAAAUUACAUGUCUAUAGUUGAGAUAAGGGAACACUAUAUUUUAAGGACCAAUUCUUAACUAGUUGCUUAUUAGCAUGCAUUACUAGCAUGUGGGUUGUUUAUUGGUAUCUAUAAAGCACAUAUUGAUGCCUUAUUCUGCAUGUCCAUAUUUUAGAUCCCUUAAUCCAACCCCAUAACUAAACUUAGUUAAUUAGGAGCAAAUUAGGAGUUUGUUCAGGGAAAACUAUGGAAAGUUAAUAGUGAAUAUGUGUUCCCUGUUCUAAAGUGUUACCAAAAAGGGGAAAAAAAGAACAUAAUUCGAUCAUUUCUAAAAAGCAUAUUGGCAAAACAUGUUUAUCUAUCGUUCAUAUUAGAGAAGCUCAGAGGAUAAGACUUGACUCGAGGUCAAAUUUUCAACAUGAUAUUACUACAGAGAGCAGAUGAUAGAGUUGGUGAUGCCGGAAGAGGUGAGGUAAGCAGCUGCUUAUACUCUUAUCAUUGUGGUUGACAGGAUUAUAUAAACAUUGCUCCUUAAAGACCCCAUGAAACCACAGUUUGUAGGUUUUUUUAGUCCCUGUCUCUUUGAAAAUUUCAAUAUACUGUACAAGUGUAAUGCUAAACGCUGAUAAACUUUUAGCAAAUAUAUACAUUAAUUUCCCAAAUUGUAAAUUUUAAAUCUCAUUAGUCCAGUCUUCAACAUCACAUGAUCCUUGAGAAAUCAUGGUGAUUUAUUAUCGAUGUUGAAAACAGUUUUUUGGGGGUUUUUUUGGAACCUGAAAAAUAUAUUUUUAGGAUUGUCUAAUGAAUAAAAAGUUCAAUUCAAAACUGUUUUGCAACAUAUAAAAUUAUUUACUCUUGCUUUUUUUUUUUUUUUUUUUAUCAAUUUAACAUAUCCUUGCUGAAUAAAAAGUAUUAAUUUCUUUCUAUUUUCAAAAAAACACACAAACACAGGAAAGGAACUAGUAUGCGAUAUAUAAUGCUCAGUAUUCAGCAAGUAGUAAGCUAGUAUCCCAUGCUGAACAGUAAAAAGACGCACUGACUGCUGUGAUAUCAGUUUCAUUGGGCGUGUGAACAGCAGGGCUCUGUGUCAUUCAGUAGGCCUCAUCUAAACAUGCUGACUGAUCCAUUCUCGCCCGACCUGUGGCUGAUGCCUGUUUUUCUGCGUCACUGCUCUGAGUUGCACAGUGCAUGUUGUACGUUUAAUUGAGAGCUGUGGCAUGAAGCUUUGAGGCUGCUAAUUGAAUGAGACUAUAGCACAGUAAGGAAGAUACAUGCGCACACACACACACACACACACACACAAGCUAGAAGCGUGAGUCAUGGGGAGUAUUCACUUCACGACACAGAAACCCAGCACACAAGCCCUUCCACCUCAUUCUGUCACUCCCGAUCAGUACGGCCAUAGUGCUUUCCACUCAGCACAUUUAACACACAUGAACCACAGCAAGAGUGCUGGAGUGUUUUACUAACUGCUAACUGGAGCAUACUGAGCUAUUAAACAAACUAAAUUAAGACAGCCUCUGUUAAAUUACACUUAACAUAAUAAUAAAUCAUUUUAUUAAUAAUUAAUAAACUACAUAAAACUGAUAAUAUUUCCCAAAAAUACAGCAAUUAUAAUCACUUCACAACAAAUUAAAAUAAAGUUAAUAUUACUUGUAAGCAGUAUAUUUUAUUGUAAGUCAGUUGCAAUCAAGCUGUAAUGUUAUUAAAUUAUGUAAAAAGUAUGAAUAUAUUAUUUAUUUGCGCAUUUGUAAUACAUCAAAUAUUUUAUUUAUUGUAAUCAUUAUUUAAUUUAAUUUAUGUGUUCAGCAAACAUGCAUUAAAUUGUUGAAAAAGUGACAUUAUAAUGUUAUAUUUCUUUUGGCCUUCCUAUUCUUCAAAAAACACUGUGACACAGGUCUGGUGUAAUGGCAUCAAAUGAAUAAACACCAUUUUACAAUAUUAAAUUUAAAAAAGUUAUUUUGUAAUAAUUGUAAUAAUAUUUUAUAAAUUUGAUCAAAUAAAUGCAGCCUUGGUGGGCAUAAGAGAUUUCUUUCAAAAACAAAAACAAAAAUCUUAGCAUAUAUACGACCAUAGUUGAAUAAAACCCCAUAUUGUUACUGAAUGAUUACCAUUUUACAUACUGUCAUAUUUAUGACUCAUAUACACGUUUCAAAUGAUAUUUUUUAGUUUCCAAAAACAUGGCAUUAUCAUGGUAGUUUUUUGUUUGUGGACAGAACAUGAACAUAUUCUCCUAAAGCAGAUUUACCAGGCUUCACUAUGCUUUACAAGGGCUCACUAAUGUAAUGCUAUCCAAUCGCAGUGUGUUGGUAUCAAACAGUAGGCAGACAGGUACUGUGGUGAAGAAAACCACAGGAGAAGAUGUGCAGGAGCGCACCAGGAGAGCCGGGCCAGGUGUGUGUCUGACAACUCUCAGACUGAAGAGCUGGCAGGGAAAGUCACACAGGUGUACGUCAGGAAAACCGCUCCCACACACUGAAGCUUUGACAAGCGACAGCAAAGCUCACGCUGAUUCCGGGAUAUGCGGUCUCCUUAAGCCCACCGGGGACCAGGCUGCCUGAACAGACCAUAUGGCACCGCUCUUCUGUGAUUUUAUCAAAAUUUUAACUUGUUUCCUCUGACUUCACAAUCCUCUCAACAGAGCAGUGUGGAUUAUGGGAGGGGACGGAGUGAUUUUCAACUUGUCCUCUGUCAAAGACACAGCGCAGUGCACUGCAGCGGCUGAGAGGGAAGCCAGAGCCACUUUAUCUUAAGCCGAGAGACUUUGUUUUCAAAUUGCAUAUGUAAGCGAUGAGCUUCAGUUAGCUGGUCCCUAUUGUAGAAUAAACCCAAAUCGCAUGAUUAGGACCAUAAGCUAAAGGGUCUUUCAUCACCCUGCCCUUACGAAACAAAAAUAUAUGGGAAUAUACUGGAAAAUAUAAUAAUAGUGCUAUGUUUUUCAAUACACUGCAUUAUACGCAUGGACCAUGUUGGGCUAUAUAUUGAUAUAUUUAAAAUGUGUAGCAAUGAAGAACACAUAUUAUCAACUUUGGUCUUUACUGUUCUUUACUACACAUUUCAUACAAUAUAUGAAAAUAUCUGCGAUGGAAUAUAAGAAAAGUGUUUACUGAGAACAUUUAAGGAUUUUUGUACAAUUGGAUGUUUUGUUAAAGUCACGGCAAUACGGUGACUGGAACAUUAGAUUUGACAUUUGUACUUAAUUUACUUAACUUUGGAUUGGAUAUUAUUCUGUAGAAUUCCCAUAUACAUUAAAUCUUUCAUUGUGUUGAUUGUUAAUGAGGAAAUAUAUUUACUUUGUGUAAGAGUGUAGAGGUUUAUUUUGGGUCCAACCAAAUUUAAUUCUGCUUAUUACACUAAAACUUUAUUAUUAAUUUAAAAUAUUUUAUGUAAUCAUAAUUAUAUAUUAUAAUAUUCAUAUUAUUUUAUAUUAUUUGACCACAGAAUGCUGUGCACUAUCGAAUACUUUUUCUGAUUGGUCAAUGUAAUAAAAGGAAAAGUUAUGAUUGUGGUUAGUUUGUGAUUUGAUAUUUUUUAUUUUGAAAUUGUAUUUAUUACAAAUAGUUGUGCAUUUACAGUAUCUUCUCAAAGUGCAUAAAUAUAUAUUUGACACACCAUAAUAGUAACAUCACCAUACCCAUUUAUUCACCUCUGACUGGCAAAUUAAUUCAGUUGAAUUAAAUGUACAGGGGGAAAUUAAAAGAUGCAAAAUCGCAGUUGUGUCAGUCAAAUUCACAAAACAUUAAAAUUCAGUAGCUACAUUUAAACGCACACACACUUACAAUUCGUCAAAGAGCUGCACUUUAUUAUACAGUAGGCCACAAUAGAAAGGUCCAAAUAUGAACUUCCAAAUGUCACAUCUCCUUUGAUUACAAAUGAUCACUUCUCAACAAAGUUAUAAGUUAUAAACACUUAAGGCGCCUUACAUGUCGCCAGUCAAACUGUUUCCACACAAUUAUGGCACAAGAAACACUGAAAUACUGAGAUGUAGAUUCAACAGUCUUUUAGAACCACAGGCUCUUCAGAUGAACAAAGAGAAGAUGGCUAUUUGUUUCCAAACAGGAUAGAAGUCUGAAACCUAAGUUUCGCUGCCUAUUUUGACUUAAAGGCAAUAUUUUUGUAUAAAAGUACCUCCUAAAGAAAAUUGGUUUCAGACUGACUUCCAAAGCAUUAUAACUUCACAUCUAAAAAUCAGCAACUUCAAGAAAUUCAAUUGAGCCUACGAGAUAGGCAAGCAAAUAUUAAUACUUAUUUCUAGUAGAAGACAUUUAUGAAUAAAUGUACUUCUUUCAAUCUGUCUUUUUUUCUUUUCACCAACUGCCAUGCACAGGAUUGUGGAAUAUUGCAAUGCACAUCUGUGUUGAAUUCAAAAACUGAGAUGAAGGCAUCUUAGUAGACAGGACAACUAUGGUUUUUCAGGUUUUGGACAGAAGAAUUAUCUGUCCGUUUGAAGUAAAUAAUGAAGCAGAAUGUUAACCCUCUUUCCAUGCAUUACUCUCACACAUUUAGAUAGCUGGCAUUUAAUGAACCCCAGGGUAUGAACUGGGUUAGAUGGAAAACAGAAAAGUGUGCUCAAUCUAAAUAUUGACUGAGGGGAAAGACUGAGAGAACCUUCAUCGUUUAAUCCAAAAGAGAAAAGGGAAGACGGACUUCAGCCACUAUCACAAGAAAGAAGGGAUUUAGUAUUUCCUGAAAUUUUUGCUGUUUGUGUGCCAUUAGAAACUAAAAAGGCAGAAGCGCGUAACACACACACACACACACACACACACACACGCCUGUGCUGUGGAGGUAUUGUCUAGCCCUCUGGGUACACUCUGAAACAGCAGUGUGGAACAAACACACGUAACAUGCGUGAGCCAUAUUAAUUAAUAUUUGCUAAUAAAAACACUCAUUUAUUUGUAUCCUAUGUGGAUAGUGACGAUCAAUAGCCCUGAUUGUCCACACUUAAACACUGUAAGUAUGAUUAGAGAAAGACACUUUGAGUCAUUUUGAGUUAUAUGCACUGAAUGAAAAAGCUCUGUUUUCUAAUGUUAUCACCAUUAUCUUUCAAACAAUUCUCGAGAUAUAAUCAUUUAAACGGUGGCUGUCAAACCUGUUUUUAAGAAAAAGGCAUCUAAAUACAUAAAUAACAGCCUAAAAAUGUAAAUGUUAGUUUAUAAUAUUGUGCAUAUAUUCAACUAUUAUUAUUUAGGCCUACUUUUUUCCAACUCACGAGUGGACAUUCCUAAGGUGAAUUUUAGGCUACGUACCAUGUUGUUUAAAAGCUGUUUUACCGAUGUCUUCGCCGAUUACAUAAUAACAUUUUUAACAUAAAUACACUUUUAAUAUACCUUCUGAUGUGCUUUAACUAGUAGCCUACUGUAAUGAGCGGUAAAUGCCGCCGUUUGAACUCGGGCGGUUACGAUCUGUCACAAGUAGCGUAAAAACGACAUUUACCGUUUAAAUUCUCAUUUAAAAAUAAGAGCUAAGGCUUUGUUUUAUCAAAAACGAACAUAAAACACAAAAGAGUCUAAAUUCAAGUUUGUUUUACUUAUAAUUGCGAUUUUCCACAAACGGCUUACUGCGCGACUUCUGACUCGAAAUGAUAAAGCACGUCACAUAUGCUUUAACAAACGAAAGAAGAGGCACUUUAUAUUGCAAGACAUAUUAGAGAAAACUGGAUUAAAGUCUCACACGUACCUAUAGAAACAUGGAAGAUCAAUUACCUGAAAAUUCCUGUGACCUGGCUUUGCCCACACUCCUCUCCACCACCUCAUUUUUUCCUGUCUUCAUCACUGCGGAUCCAGAGGCUGGAAUGCGCUUCUUCUUGGGUGGCCCCCAGAUGAAGUUCUCGGGCGGCUG